Molecule: ribosomal RNA, 459 nt
Filed under: uncultured bacterium
Lineage: Bacteria
Description: partial 16S ribosomal RNA
Rfam family: Bacterial small subunit ribosomal RNA
Source: RNAcentral
CCUACGGGAGGCAGCAGUGAGGAAUAUUGGUCAAUGGCCGUAAGGCUGAACCAGCCAAGUCGCGUGAAGGAAGAAGGAUCUAUGGUUUGUAAACUUCUUUUAUAGGGGAAUAAAGGUAUCCACGUGUGGAUAUUUGCAUGUACCCUAUGAAUAAGCAUCGGCUAACUCCGUGCCAGCAGCCGCGGUAAUACGGAGGAUGCGAGCGUUAUCCGGAUUUAUUGGGUUUAAAGGGUGCGCAGGCGGGAGAUCAAGUCAGCGGUAAAAUGUCGGGGCUCAACCCCGGCCGGCCGUUGAAACUGGUUUUCUAGAGUUGGAGAGAAGUAUGCGGAAUUCGUGGUGUAGCGGUGAAAUGCAUAGAUAUCACGAAGAACUCCGAUUGCGAAGGCAGCAUACCGGCUCCAUACUGACGCUGAGGCACGAAAGCGUGGGGAUCGAACAGGAUUAGAUACCCUAGUAGUC